GUGGGGAAUAUUGGGCAAUGGGCGGAAGCCUGACCCAGCAACGCCGCGUGAAGGAAGAAGGCUUUCGGGUUGUAAACUUCUUUUACCAGGGACGAAACAAAUGACGGUACCUGGUGAAUAAGCCACGGCUAACUACGUGCCAGCAGCCGCGGUAAUACGUAGGUGGCGAGCGUUAUCCGGAUUUAUUGGGUGUAAAGGGCGUGUAGGCGGGACAGCAAGUCAGAUGUGAAAACCAGAGGCUCAACCUCUGGCCUGCAUUUGAAACUGUUGUUCUUGAGUGUCGGAGAGGUAAUCGGAAUUCCGUGUGUAGCGGUGAAAUGCGUAGAUAUACGGAGGAACACCAGUGGCGAAGGCGGAUUACUGGACGAUAACUGACGCUGAGGCGCGAAAGCGUGGGGAGCAAACAGGAUUAGAAACCCCGGUAGUCC
Molecule: ribosomal RNA, 428 nt
Filed under: uncultured bacterium
Lineage: Bacteria
Description: partial 16S ribosomal RNA
Rfam family: Bacterial small subunit ribosomal RNA
Source: RNAcentral